Molecule: ribosomal RNA, 406 nt
Filed under: uncultured bacterium
Lineage: Bacteria
Description: partial 16S ribosomal RNA
Rfam family: Bacterial small subunit ribosomal RNA
Source: RNAcentral
AUUGAACGCUGGCGGCAGGCCUAUCACAUGCAAGUCGAACGAGUGGCGGACGGGUGAGUAAUGUCUGGGACACUGCCUGAUGGAGGGGGAUAACUACUGGAAACUGUAGCUAAUACCGCAUAACCUCUGAUGUGCACAGAUUGGAGUAGCUAUUAGGGGGGGUAAAGGCUCACCUAGGCGACGAUCCCUAGCUGGUCUGAGAGGAUGACCAGCCACACUGGAACUGAGACACGGUCCAGACUCCUACGGUAGGCAGCAGUGGGGAAUAUUGGACAAUGGGCGCAAGCCUGAUGCAGCCAUGCCGCGUGUAUGAAGAAGGCCUUCGGGUUGUAAAGUACUUUCAGCGGGGAGGCGUUACCCGCAGAAGAAGCACCGGCUAACUCCGUGCCAGCAGCCGCGGUAAUAC